UUAGGCCUUGACAUACUAAGAACUUUCCAGAGAUGGAUUGGUGCCUUCGGGAACUUAGAUACAGGUGCUGCAUGGCUGUCGUCAGCUCGUGUCGUGAGAUGUUGGGUUAAGUCCGCAACGAGCGCAACCCUUUUCCUUAUUUGCCAGCGGGUAAUGCCGGGAACUUUAAGGAUACUGCCAGUGACAAACUGGAGGAAGGCGGGGACGACGUCAAGUCAUCAUGGCCCUUACGGCCAGGGCUACACACGUGCUACAAUGGUCGGUACAAAGGGUUGCUACCUCGCGAGAGGAUGCUAAUCUCAAAAAGCCGAUCGUAGUCCGGAUCGCAGUCUGCAACUCGACUGCGUGAAGUCGGAAUCGCUAGUAAUCGCGGAUCAGAAUGCCGCGGUGAAUACGUUCCCGGGCCUUGUACACACCGCCCGUCACACCAUGGGAGUUUGUUGCACCAGAAGUAGGUAGUCUAACCGCAAGGAGGACGCUUACCACGGUGUGGCCGAUGACUGGGGUGAAGUCGUAACAAGGUAAGCGUAGAUGA
Molecule: ribosomal RNA, 535 nt
Filed under: uncultured bacterium
Lineage: Bacteria
Description: bacterial SSU rRNA
Rfam family: Bacterial small subunit ribosomal RNA
Source: RNAcentral